GCAAACUUGGUCAUUUAGAGGAAGUAAAAGUCGUAACAAGGUUUCCGUAGGUACGUAAAUCUUUUUCAUUUUUCCCUCUUUCCCUGUGAAGCUUUUAACUAACGUUUUCUCUUUAGGUGAACCUGCGGAAGGAUCAUUAUCGAGUUAGGGUCCAUCAGGGCCCAACCUCCUACCCUUGUGUUAACUAUACCACGUUGCUUCGGCGGGCCUGUUCUCUCUUACAGGGAGAACUCCCGGGCUUUGAUAAGCCUGGUCCGUGCCCGUCGGUGGCCAACCUUUAAACUCUUGAUAAACUGUGUUGUCUGAGUUACAAAAACAAAAAUUUAAAUAAAACUUUCAACAACGGAUCUCUUGGUUCUGGCAUCGAUGAAGAACGCAGC
RNAcentral lists this unclassified non-coding RNA (380 nucleotides) under uncultured fungus. RNAcentral's name for it is "partial contains small subunit ribosomal RNA, internal transcribed spacer 1, and 5.8S ribosomal RNA". The stretch from base 1 to 139 matches the Rfam family "Eukaryotic small subunit ribosomal RNA", at positions 1759 to 1831 of the family's 1831-position model. The record is from RNAcentral. Lineage: Eukaryota; Fungi.